Loxodonta africana (African savanna elephant) is the source of this 19797-nucleotide long non-coding RNA. RefSeq lists it as uncharacterized. The transcript is spliced from 2 exons. The record is from RefSeq and is a predicted model, not a curated record. NCBI's taxonomy places the organism in Eukaryota, Metazoa, Chordata, Mammalia, Proboscidea, Elephantidae.
CAUUCUGCUGGCUAGGAUAAUGGCAGAUGUGGUAAGGUUACGCCAAAAGGAGUGGUAAUGACUUUCUGAUUCAGAAGUUCCUGUUUGUGGCAAAGGCAGCUUGUUUUGGUGCAAUCUUGGAAGCUCAGCCUGGAGUCUGUUCCUUCCCAGUGAUUUUGUGAGAUAUUUAUAAACCUUCACUAAUAAGUUUCAGUUUAAAUUAGCUCGAGUGGAUUCUAUUAUCUGCAACCAAGGACCUUGGCCAAUACCUGCUCCUUUCCUAUCAGUCUGGGCUUCGUGAAGGCAGGAAGCACGCCCUGUUCAUCUUUGUAUCUCUAGUACUUAUCACAGUAUGUGGCACAUAGUAGGUUCUCAGUAAAUGUUUAUAGGAGGUAUGGAUUAUGGAUUCGUGCUUUCAUAAUCUGUCUUUGCUUACGUCUGUACAGCUCUAACUAUUUUGUACUUUUGUUGCAUACAAAACCGCUCUUUUGAUAAAUCAUUCAUUUAUCUGCUCAUACAGAUUAUUAUCAUUUCAAUACCUGAACACAUUUUUUCAAGUUCCUACUAUGUUCCUGCAAUUGUGCCAGGCACUGUAUAUGUAAAGUUAAUAAGAUACAUUCCUGAUUCUAAACGUAACCACAAACCAGUGGGGAGAGCCAUCAUUUUACUAUAUAAAUAUGAUUUGUAGCCUAUGCUUGGAAGGAGAAAGAAAACAAGCGAGGUGGUAUUUGGCCAUUCUAAAUGAGGUAUGAUAAGAAUGCUGCUUAUGGGAUUUUUAAAAUAUUCCCCUAUUGAACCAGAGUCAACUCUUGAUUAUUUGUACUGAUGGUGUGGAAAACAGCUUUGGCUGCCGUAAAGAAGCUCAUCAGCCAAAUAACAUUUAUAUGUCGCUUUGGAACUUUUUUCCAAAUGUGGAAUCUUAUAUUCUGGGAAUUUAUUUCAAACAAAAUGAUGCGGGAGGGCUGGAAAGACUUGGCUGGCUCCGGGAAGCCGUCCAGCUUCCCUGGCCUGCGUCUCUGUUCAGACCUUUCCUCUAACAACGUUAGUGCCGGGAACGAACUCUUCGUCCGUGGCAUCAAUGCAAAGCAUUGACCAGCUUGGAGCUGCCCGACUGGAAUCUUUCUUAAAGUUGGAAAUAUCAUUAGGUGUUUCAUUUCCACAGGGCUUCACAGUUGGGACACAGGGUUUAUAUAAAAUCAGAGCGAUAUGCGGUUGAGGUGACAAUGAAGGAGAGAAAACAGUAAACUUGAAAGCAGAAAAGAUAUUGCCUAAUCUGCUGACAAACCUUGGAUAGUUUUUAUGUCUCUCUAUUUCCUCCAUUGCCUUAUAAAAAAUGCUUAGUCCUUCACUCUGCUGGAGUCCCAAGUUUCUUCCUAUAAUAGCCAUUCUUGGCAUUCGCUUCUUGCCACACACUGGGCUAAAAGCUUCUUCUGUGUUAUCUAAUUCUAUUCCCACACUAACACUCUCUAAUUCCAGCGUUACAGGUGAGAAAACCACUCUGGGGCAGGCAGGAAGGAAACUGCUGAGGCCAUGUAGGCGAAGACUGAAACUGGUUGUUGUGACUCUUCAUGUUGUGCGCUCACUGCUGUUCCACAAUCAUCCAAUACCAAGGAACUUCAGUGGAACUUCCAAAAACUUCCUCUUGUCCCUGUUGGCAUCUUGAAGGGCUCAAAAUCUUUUGUAUCCUUAUUCUACUUCAGAAUCUGAUUAUUUUCAUCAGCUAAACCCCAAAGUGUAAUAAAAGUCUAUCUUUUAUAUUUUUACUGUAAUCCCACUUUUUUGAAGUUACUAUACCAUAAUAGAAAAUCACAGUCUUCCAUACAUGGCGGGUUUUUUGUGUGUGCGCGUGUACACGUGUGCGUGUGUGUGUGUGUGUGUGACAGAGAGACAGAAGUUGAGAGACAGGGAGAGAGGGAGAGAGAAAUUAAGAGAGAGGUGGGAGACAGACAGAAGUUGAGAGAGGGAGAGAGAAAUUUAGAGGGAGGGACGAGAGAAAGAGGAGGAGGGAGGGAGAGAGAAAUUAGAGAGAAAUGCUCAGAAAGAGAGAGGGAGAGAGAUUGAGAGAAAAACAGAAAUAGAGGCAGAAAGGGAGAGAGAAAUUUAGAGAGAGAGAAAAAGAGAGGAACUGGGAAGGGGGAGGGAAGGAAAGAGAAAUUAGAGAGACUAUCUGCUGUGUGGUUUCUAGAAUAUGACAGGUAUCUGCAGUAAUAACAUCUCAUAUGCCUUUUUGUUUACGAAGGCAUCUUGAAUUUCUUACUUAUUUCUAACCUUUACCGCAAAGCUAUGGAACAGGUAUUAACAGUCUGUGUUACCAGGCUCAGGAAUGGCGAGCCACGCAGCGGUGACGAUGGAGCGGUAGGUGGCAGAGCCCAGACGCUGUCCUCCGACCCCGCCCCGCAGUGCUCGUCAGAUGCCACCGCUGCCUCCACCUGGGCUGCUCCAGCCCGGAGAACAGCCCAGCCGAAGUGACAGACAGACCGUCGAAAACGGGGUCACGAAGCUCAACUGUAAUUUCCCACAAAGGGAUAAAUCUUCGAAACAAGCCACAAUUAAGUUUCCAGCGGCAUAAAUGUUCCUUACCCUGGGUUUCAAAAACACAAUAGCAGCCAAAUGGCAGCUCUUUGAGCAAGCAGAAGAACAGAGUGUAAUUUCACAAUUUAGGACUCACUUUUUUUUUUCUAUGUUUCUCAAGUAGUUUCCUGGGAGGGUCUGUGCAUUUUGGGGGUGGCUGGUACUAACACGUGCUGGCACUUUAUGGCCUCCGGGCUGUGCAGAGAGUCUGCACGGGCUGCCGGGUAAUUCUCCUCCUUGGCUAAUUGCUGCAAACUUCCUAUUCGCUGUAAAUGGCAGAUGACAAAGCUCCCCAAAGAAACUUCUUAUGGCUGUAUUUGUCCAUAUCAAGGGAAAUUAAAAUACCCACAUUUACUGCUCUGAAGCACGAGGCUUCAUUUGCAUAUUUUAUUGAUUCCCACACAUGCGGUUUUCUGUUCAAGGAGGAAAAUGCAUCAAUCUGUCAGCACUUACCUGCAUAGCCACGUGAGCACUUAGGCUGGUUUGGAAACCCUUGGGAGGCGAAAUAACGUUGCAGAGACCCUGAGAAUACUGUUUACUUUAUAGCUUUCUCUACAGCCUUCAUAGUUACUAGACUCAAAAUUUGCCCAGUAAAAUCAGUCUCACAAUCAUAAUCAUUCAGCAACGAAGAGUCCCCCUACACAAUUUUUUUUUUUUCAGAUCUGAAAAUUCCCUCACAAGUGUGAGAAAACCCAUUCAAAGGAAAAGGCAAGGAGAGAGUUUAUUCCAUUUUCUUGGGCCUAUUGACUGACUUUUUUAGGUAGGCAGUUUCUGAACAGGGUUUAGGUAGAUGGGGAAAAAAUAUGUGUGUACAUACACACACACAUAUGCAUAUGUGUGUGUGUGUCUAUGUGUCAAUCUCUAUAUAAUUAUCUUUUCUUAAUUUAUUGGGAAAAGGAGAAUCACCACCCUCCUUUGAUUACCUUUCUAGUACUGGGAAGUCCUUUAUUGCACAAGUCAGGACUCAAGGACGCUUAGGGACAGGUGAUAGGAAAUCCAAUUUGAAUUAGUUUAAGCAACAAUAAAAGAGAAAGUUGGAUUUAUUUAGCUCAUUUAGAUGGAAAGCCCAAACAAAGAUGAAGUUUCAGGUAUGGCUAGGUUCAGGGGAACAUACACUAGGUCAUCAGGGCUCGGUCUCUCUUGCUCCAUCUUUUAGUGUUGAUUUCAUUCUCAGGCAGAAAUUCUAUACCUGUUGGCUUCAAACAGAUCCAAGCUUACAAUUUACCAGUUUAGCAACCCUGGUGAAAAGAGAGCCUUUUUAUUAAUAGUUUCAAUAAAUAGUCUUGGGAUUGGUUCUUACUUGACCAGUUUGGUUCAUGCAUUCAUCCCUGAACCAAUGACUAUGACCAGGGGAAUGGAACAUGCUGUGAGGCUGGGCCUGAGCCAGGUGCCCACACUUAGAGAUUGGAAUGGGGUCAAUCCCACUUGUACCAUGUGACCUGAGAAUGGGGGAGGGGUGGUUUCCCAGGGCAAGAUACAAGUUCUGCCGCCAGCAGGGAGAACAGAUGCUGGGUGGGCAAAACCUGCAAAUUUCCAUUGCAUUUAUAGACUCAUUUUAAGGAUAGAUUUGAAGAUUAUUUUUCUUUUCUCUGCUUAAGUUCUGCUGUUCUCCAUAAUAAUAAUCUUAAUAGGAAUCUUAUUAGGAGGAGAGAUCAUCAGCCUUACCUCUCUACUUAAACAAUCCUACCCUUUUACCUGGUGUAUAGACAAGAUUAUUAUUCAAAAAUGUUUUCUGCAUUAAAAAAUUGCAUAGAACUAAACACACACAUACACACAAAUGAGUGCAUGCAAAACCAGUGACGUCUGAAGAAGGCUGGUAGAUUGUUCCAAUGUCAGUUUCCUGGUUGUGAUAUUGUACUAUGUUACCACGUGGAAACACUGGGUGAAGGGUAUACAGGAUCUCUUUGUAUUGUUUCUUACAAUGCCUAUAAAUCUACGAUUAUCUUAAAAUAAAAACAUUUAAAAAAUGUUGUUGCCUUUUCCUGGAGAAGUUCGUGUUUCCCAACCGCAUUGAUGGCAGGCUUGGUCACAGUUGUUGCUUUGGCCAAUGAGAUGGGAGCAACAACACUUCUGAGCAGAAGCUUUUAGAGCACAUUCUCAUUUCCCCCCACAUUCCUUGCUUUCUCCUUUCCCGUUGCCAUGAUGACGGGCAAUGUUCCAGACAGAGGGGGCUGGGCCAGUCAGACUAUCUCCAAGAGGAGCACAACUAGCUUGCAUGGACCCGUAGUGCAAAUAAGAAGGCAAUCUUUGCUGCUAUGAACUAUUAAGAUUUGAGGGUCAUUUGUUACUGCAGCAUAACCUAGCACAUUGCUUACCUAGCUGCUUCAGAAUCAUCAGGAGCACUUGUUAAAGCACGUUUCUGAGCCUUGCCCAAGAGAUUCUGACUUCACACUUUUGUGGUUAGCCUGAGAAUUGGCAUUUCUAAGCAAACAUUGGGGUUGUGUUGGUGUUGCUCCUCCAGGGAUAACAUUUUGAGUAGCGUGUCCUAGCGUAUCCUGACUGAUACACAUUCUCUGAUUCUCUAGGGAGUCUCCAUUCUUCCCUUGAACAUUCCCAAGUUUUCAUGUUCCUUCUACCCCAAAGCCCAGAACUGGGCCUAGAAUAGUGCCUAACACAGUGAUUUUGUUAAAUAAAUAAAUGGCCCAGUGUUCUUGAUAGGGCCUUAUCUAUAAGCUCAAGUGCAAAAAUAGUCUUUACAGUCUUACAAUCCCAGUAAAAUAAAUGCUAGUGUUCCUUAAAAAGGGUGCAUAUUUUUUUUCCUGAUUACAAAAUAAGUAAAUGUUUAUUGUAGAAAAUUUUAUUUUUGAACAUGAAAAUCAAAAUUCAAACCAUAAUCUAACCAUUCAGGGGAGCUACUAUUACAACUUUGGUACAUACUCUUCCUGUUAACAACCUGUGUUAUGCAGAUGACACAACCUUGCUAGCUGAAAGCCAAGGGGACUUGAAGUGCUUACUGAUGAAGUUCAAAGACUACAGCCUUCAGUAUGGAUUACACCUCAACAUAAAGAAAACAAAACUCCUCAUCCCUGGACCAGUAAGCAACAUCAUGGUAAACGGGAAAAACAAUUGAUGUUGUCAAGGAUUUUGUUUUACUUGGCUCCACAAUCAACACCCAAUGAAGCAGCAGUCAAGAAAUCAAACGACGCAUUGCAUUGGGCAAAUACACUGCAAAAGACUUCUUUAAAGUGUUAAAAAGCAAAGAUGUCAUCUUGAAGACUAAGGUGGAACUGACUCAAGCCAUGGUGUUUUCAAUUGCCUCACAUGCCUGUGAAAGCUGGACAAUGAAUAAGGAAGACAGAAGAAGAACUGACACCUUUGAAUUAUGAUGUUGGCAAAGAAUACUGAAUAUACUAUGGACAGCCAAAAGAAUGAACAAAUUUGUCUUGGAAGAAAUGCAACCGGAAUGCUCCUUAGAAGCAAGAAUGGAGAGAAUACAUCUCACAUACUUUGGGCAUGUUAUCAGGAGGAAUCAAUCCCUGGAGAAGGACACCAUGCUUGGUAAAGUAGAGGGUCAGUGAAAAAGAGGAAGACCCUCAAUGAGAUGGAAUGGCACAGUGACUGCAACAAUGGGCUCAAGUAUAACAAGGAUUGUGAGGAUGGUGCAAGACCGGACAGCGUUUCCUUCUAUUUUACAUAGGGUCGCUAUGAGUCGGCACUGACUCAACAGCACCUGACAACAACUUCCUGUUUUUGGUGUAUAUAAAAACCCCAACCAAACCUGGUGCUGUUGAGUGGAUUCUGCCUCAUAGUGACACUACAGGACAGAGUAGAACUGCUCCAUGUGGUUUCCAAGGAGUGGCUGUUGGAUUUGAGCUGCAGACAUUUUGGUUAGUAGCCAAGCUCUUAACCACUGUGCUACCAGAGUAUAUGUAGUUAUAUAAUAUUGUGAUCAUUCAAUACAUUUCAGGAAAAAAGUGAAGUUGUUGAAGAUUUCAUUCUACUUGGAACAAUAAUCAAUGUUCAUAGAAACAGCAGUCAAGAAGUUAAAUGACUUAUUGCAUCGGGCAAAUCUGCUGCAAAAGACCUCUUUAAACUCUUAAAAAGCAAAGAUGUCACUUUGAUGACUAAGGUGCAGCUGACCCAAGCCAUAGUCUUCUCAAUCUCCUUAUAUGCAUGUGAAAGCUGGCCAAUAAAAAAUAAAGACAGAAUAAGAAUUGACGCAAUCGAAUUACGGCGCUGGUGAAGAAUGUUGAACAUACUGUGGACUCUCAGUAGAAUGAACAAAUCAGCCUUAGAAGAAUGUGCUCCUUAGAAAAGAGGAUAGAGAGACUUUGGCUUUCUUACUUUGGACAUGUCAUCAGGAAAGAGCAAUCACUAGAAAUAGACAUCAUGUUUGGUAGUAAAGAGGACCCUCACCGAGAUGGACUGACACAUAGCCACAACAACAGACUCAAACACAUCGACGAUCAUGCAGGUGGCGCAGGACCGGGCACCAUUUCGCUCUGUUACAUCCGAGGUCAUCAUGAGUCAGAGCUGAGUCAACACCACCUAACAACAAUAAUCGUGCAUUAGCAGAUGAGGACACUGCUCGGUAAAUUGUUUUACUAAUAUAUUGUGAAUAUUUCCCCAUGUUAUUAAAUAACAUUCUGGCAGAUCCUUUUUCAUGGCUGCAUAGUGCCACCAUGGAGCCCUGGUGGCACAGUCGUUAAGAGCUCUGCUGCUAACCAAAAAGUCGGCAGUUCGAAUCCUCCAGACGCUCCUUGGAAACCCUAUGGGGCAGUUCUACUCUCUCCUGUAGGGUCGGUAUGAGUCAGAAUUGACUUGAUGGCAACAGGUAUAGUGCCAUCCCUUAAAGGUGAACUGUGUUGAUGCACUCUUGAUACUGGCUCAUGAUCAGCCUGUGGUUUACUCUGACCUCUUUCCCUUUACUCAUAACUGAUUUCCUCCAAUCCUUUUCUAUCUUGUGUUUGUAUAGUUAGCAGUUCCUUCUGAAAAGAUUUCACCAGGCAUGUGUCACUGAUGAUCCUUAUUUUGCUUGUUUAUGAUGCUGUCUCCACAGAGUUCAAAGGGCCAGUAAGUGACUAUGAGACCCUUGUCUGUGAAUUAUGGAGUCGUUUCUUACAAUAACACCUGAUGGACCUCUCAUGCAGGUGGCACGCCUGCCUUCACCACUCUCCCAGGCUGAGCUCCCUUCUCUCUACUGUGGACCUUUGACCUGAGAGGGCCUGUGCAGAAGCCUUGGAGAGGAGCACCAGUUCCGCCUAUUAUCAGGACGAGCGUGGAGAGAUCAGUGCUGACCCUCGUCCAGAGUCUCAACAAUGGAGGCAGGUUACCGUUGAAAGCCCAACAAGGGACGGAAGGAAGUAGGCUUUAUUGAGCACUUGCUGUGUGCUGGGCCCCGUAAGAAGGGCUUUUACAUACACCGCCCAAUCACAUUUCAAUCCUAUGAGAGCCAACCGUUAGUUUUCACAGUGUCAUAAAUGAGGAAACUGAGAGGUCAUGAGGUUAGGUGCUAUACAAGUGACUAAAAGAAAGGAGAGGAAAAACUUGUUUAAUUUCUGGGGUUUCUUACAUCAGGCAAAUAAAGGAAUGAGCUUUUAUAUGAGGACAGACUGAGGUACUGACACUUUCUAGCCUGGAAAGUCUAAAGAAGGAUGUGUUCAAGAACCAUAACAUGGAAGAAAAUCUGCUGGUUGACCAUGAACUGAUUCAUCAAAUCCCAGGUCCCUGGAAUGGAAGAGACCUGAUAUACUCUACGUGGCCAGGGUCAGGUAGCGGUUAGUCCCUCAACCCCUGGAGCCCACCACUCAUUUCCACUUUCUUUUCUUUCUUGAGAACUCUGCAUCCUUCAGCAAGCCAUUUAACCUCCACCUCAGUUUCCUCAUCUGUUUGACAAACGAUGAUAAUAAUGACACCACAUCGUAAGGUUUCUAUAAGGAUUAAAAGAAAGAACCUAUAUAAACCUUGCGGAGUGCCUAGUACCCUAGUACCAUUACAGUAAUUGGGGGGCAUGUUUUACACAUGGAAGAGGUAACUGCAGAUCAAAAGGAAGCUUAUUUUACAGGGUGGGAAGUAAACUUGCUCAACUUACUGGCCCAGAAGGUGGCAAAAACUAAAAAUAGAAUUAAAAAAAGUUAGGUCAUGGUUGGUUAACAUUUUCUCUACCGUAAGGGGAAGAAAAUCUGUUUCUGGCCCCAUGUAAGUGGAAGAUGCCGUCAUCAGCUGUGAAGGGAAUUCGGUUAGUCACUGGUUGCCAUGCCGAUGCCAACAUCCCCCUCCGCCUACUCUACCAUCAACACAUUUGAAUAAGUAACGAUGAUCAUGGCAUGUACUAAAAUGCUAUUUUUAAAAAAGAACUUCUGUCAAAAGUCUGGUUUUUAGAAAGAAUUGCUAUAGGCCGGAUAAAGAUUAGCAUAAAGUCCCUAAAAUGCUUUGAGUAUAAUCGCAGAAGAGGAAUCUUCUGUAGAUUAUGAAAGGACUCUCAGGGGUCUUCUUUUUAGGGGGAGUGGUCCCCUCCUAACCUUCCAAGCUUGACCAAAUGUCCCCUGGUGGUGUCAGAAACUGAGCUUUGAAUAGACCAAGUCCCCAGUUCAAGACUGCCCUCCCCACAUGCUGAAGCCUGAUGUGGGUCUCCGUUUUUCUUCGAGCAUGACUCGAACGGCUACAAUUCUGUGAUGUGUACCUAAAACCUUAAAUAAAAAAAAUUUGACCUAAGAAUUUAGCUUCUCAGAAUCAACCCUAAGAAAGCUCAUUACUGACAUGCAGUAAGACUUAUAGUUACAAAAACAAACAAAACACCACACACACACAAAGGAGCAAAAAAAAGAAAUAAUCUAAAUGUCCAAAUUAAAUUGUUGUGCAUCCCUGUGCUAGCAUAUGAUGAGCUAUUAAAAAUAAGGCUGUCAAGGAACAUUUGAUGAUGUGCGGAAAAUACCAAAUAUUGUUAAGUGAAGCAGCAAGGAGGUUGCAGAGCAGAGGAUUCAGUAAAAGAAAAAUUUGAUGUCCGUAUGCAAUUUUAUGCAAAUAUAUGCAUAGGAAAAAACUAGCAGUCUGUUACUAUAAAAUGUUAAUAAUGGUUAUUUCUGGGUGGUAGGAUUACAGGUGGCUUUUGUUUUCCCUUUAUGCCUUUCUGUAUUUUCAAAAACCAUUUUUUAAGAUGGUUGUAUAAUUCUUUGGUAAUCAGAAUAAAACCCAGUAACUGUCAUCCACGGAGAACUGAGGGCCAACUCUGUGUCUGGAGCGUGCAAGGGAAGGGCCAGGGAGGGCUGUGCUUGGGUUAUCUGUGCCCAGGCCCCUGCCUCACCCAGGGCACCAGGGGUCACUUCUGAGGCGUGAGCCAGGAUGACUCAAUUCAAGUCUGUGAUGAGCUGGCCUCUCAAAGAUUCAUCAGCUCCCUGAAGAAGCAGCAUUUCGCAGUCCUGGAGGUUGGCCCCAACCAGCCCCACUACUAAUAGUGUUUGAGUGUCUCCAAUCAGUCUGUACACUCUGGUCCUGGCUCAGCCACAGAUGCUGCUCAAACAUGAGCUGGUUUUCCAAUGCCAACACCCAUUAGAAGGGACAGGUCAUUACUUAGGCUCGUGGAGGCUCCACAAAAGCUUUUAUGACCAAGCGAAGCCCCAGCAUCACCUCGGCCUCUCUCCCCACAACUCCAUCUCUCAGCUCCCAGGGAGCACCAUGUAGAAAAAUCAGAAAAGUUGUAUUCCUCCAAGCACAAUGCUGGCCAUUUUGUAAGAACAUGACUGUGUCGAUGAGCAAAGUCAACUACAGAGGUAGACAUCUCUCUUCCUGCAGUAUUUCUCAAAGUUUAGUCCUACAAUCACAUGCCCAACAUUUUCUGGCAAGAAAAUGCAGAUGUCUGGGCCUCACUCACGGUCUACCAAAAUCAGAAUUUCUAGGAGUGAGAGAGAAUUCCAAGGAUCCUAGGACAGGAGAACCACUUCCCCAAGAACUGAAAAAAGGAAAGUGAGAACGCACAAGCAUGGGGGCGAAGCAGCAUGCAGGGACACCUUGCCUGAGCUGGGUAUUCCGCUUCUGUGCACUCCAAUCUAAAAAAACUCUACCAUUUUAUUGAGUGCCUACUGUGGGCUAGACACAUACAUUAUCUCAGACAAUCCUCUUAGCCCCACUCCCACAAAGCUUUUUUUAAAUCUAGAUGAGGAAACAGUAGGACAGUUUGCUGGAAUUCAUAUACCCAAACCAAACCCAUUGCUGUUGAGUCGAUUCUGACUCAUAGUGACCCUAUAUGAUAGAGUAGAACUGCCCCAUAGGGUUUCCAGGGAGCAGCUGGUGGGUUUGAACUGCCAACCUUUUGGUUAGCAGCCAAGCUCUAAUGACUGUGCCACCAGGGGUCCAGAACUCAUAUAAGAAUUCUUUAAUUUGAACUUGAACACAGUAAAUUGUUUCUCUUUCCUCUGGUUCCUCUCUUUCCUUCUCAAACCUAAACCUAACUUGCUUUCUUUGGCUCAAAAGAGAUAAAGUAGUUUCAUCUGAGGUGAAACUCCUAAGACUCUCUACACCGCUCACCCUGUGCUAGGUCCCUUCACUAGAUGGUCCCUCUCAGUGGUUUUACAGGUCAGAAGUUGUGACUACAUAACUGCUUGUAUGGUACCUAGUGCGGGCAGUGGUGGUUUGGUGGUAAACUUCUCCUCUUCCACGUGGGAGACCCAGGUUCGAUUCCUAGCCAAUGCACCUCAAGCACAGCCACCACCCAUCUGCCAGUGGAGGCUUGCAUGUUGCUGUGAUGCUGAACAGGUUUCAGCGGAGCUUCCAGAUUACGACGGAUAUUGGAAGAAAGGUGUGAUCUACUUCUGAAAGUCAGCCGUGAAUAAGACAGAUAUUGGAAGAAAGGUGUGAUCUACUUCUGAAAGUCAGCCGUGAAAACUCCGUAGAUUAGAGCAGUCUGAUCUGCAACCAGUCACGGGGAUGGAGCAGAACUGAGGAGUGUUUGGCUACGUUGUACAUGGGAUUCCCACGAGUCAGGGGCUGACUGGACGGCAGCUGACAACAACUACAACAAAACUAUGGUGCAGAGUGCAGGGUGGGGAAUGGGUUCAGCUCGGGGCUGGCCUGUACUGCUGAGCACCUGCUCCCUGUCCUCCUCCCUGGACUCCAUUGAAGAGGGCUACGCAUUUCUGCCAUCCUGCUGGCUGUCGUGUGGAUGUGGUGUCUGCCAUCUGGACCACGAAGUACAGGUAUCCACCUAGGAAUGACAGAAUAGCAAACCACAAGGAGCAUAGCCCCUCACCAGCUUUGCAGAGGAGACCCACAUGGUAGCUUAGACUUUCUUAGCAAGAAACAAACAUGGAUCUUGCUUAAGUCAACUGUUACUUAGGGUCUAUGUUUUUUUUGUUGCAGGACUCAAAUUGAUACCUGAACCAGUCAAAGCCAUGGCCAGUCAAAAGUUAAGUUGGCAGGGAAGCUGGCUAGUGAAGCAAGAGGAGAAGACGCAGACAUACAAGGAGGAGGAAGCAGAAAAAGGAAACCAGGGAGAGGGUGGCUGGUGCCGUUCUUGGUGAUAUCCUGGUUCCCAGCACAGUUCCUGUGGGGCCCAGAGAUAUUUCUUGCUGUUGAAUUUCACAAAAUUGCCCUGUAUUCUUUAUACUUAACUACUCUGAGCAGGUUUUACUUCCUUGCAACCAAGUGAGCUGUAAUUAAAAUAAAGUGCCUUUUAUGAUUUCAUUACUAUAUUUUUACUAUUAUUAUUUUAUAUUUCUCCAGAUCUCAGAUCAUGUUUUUUUCCACAUUUUAAUAUUUCUGAAAGUCGGAUGUACUUUUUAUCUCAUGUUUAUGGUUAAUGUGUCCAUAUAAUAUUUUUUCCUCUCAAAAGUUGGUAAAUCAUGGCUUUGUUUCCCCACCACCCUCUUCCAUUUGAAUGGAUGCCAUCUUACGAGCAGAUGCUCGGUAACUAUCCAGUGGUUGAAUGAAGAACCCAGUCAGUCAUGGGUGUCAUCACAUCAGAGGAGCCGCCCCAGGACACAGCUCCCCAAGGGACUGACAAUUCUCUAGUCAAGAACUCACACUUUUCAAGGCCACACAGUACUUUGGCCCAAGCUAUUUCCAAAGCCCUGAACAUAUUCUCUCUUCCUUUAUUUUAAACUCCCACUCCAACUCUUAAAUCUUAACUCCAGUGUUCCUCUUCUGAGAGCUUUCUCAUAGAAACCCACCCACCCGUGCAUCAACAUCACCACUGCCUCCAUCCUCUCUCCCUGCUGUCACGCACUACCCACCAGAAAAGGCCAGUCAUUGCUAUCUCACCACUUGAAUCAUCAGCUCCUUUUGGGGGCAACAUCUGAACUUUUCUUGGCAGCCCAGAAGGGUGUACAGGAUGAGGUAUGUUCUCCACCAUCAACCUGGCCCCUCCUGGGCAUAGUGAUGAUGGUGGAUCUGGUGCCUAGAGCAUCUUCUUCCUCCCAACAAACUGUUGUGGGCUCUGGGAACCAGUGGGGAACAAGAGACUAACACCUAUGAAACCCUAGACUCUUGGUUCAUGUCAACACGUGUUAUCAUGAGCAGUUACCAUGGAUUAGGUCCUGAACGUGGACAGGGUGAUGUGCUGAGCUGGUUAUAGGCAUUUUUUCAUAUGAUCCUCUCUCAAAUGUAUGAGGUAGCUCUGCAGGGUGCUGGGGAUACAGAAUGAAAACAAGUGAAAAUGGUAAAAGCUCUUACCAAGGAAGAGCAGAGAACUACUCCCAGAGGGGAAGGGCCUGGGUCUGCACUGGGAGCUGCUCUUCUUGGUGCUUUGCCUGACACGCUCCUUUGCCCCUUUUGGCUACAGUUUGAGGAGAUGUUGAUUUGAGCCCAGGUACAGUGUGAGUGUAGGCACAUGGGGCUGCAUCCCCCCUGGGAGCUCCCAACUGUGAGAAAAUCUGACCUGUGGUCCCAGGCCUGACCUCUAGGUCUCCAGUUUCCCUGUGUUUCGGGCUUGCCCAGGAUGACUGGGGGAUUGGGCUGUUUCCCUGCCUCAUGUAGGACAAGUGCCCUGCCCCGCAUUCUCAGGAGACCUAACCCCCUGCCCAGCCAAUGUCAGAGAGAGGCUGACAAAGGGCCUACUCAAGAUCUUUCUGAUCCUGGAGCUAAGAUGACAGGGCCUGAGGGGGGCGCAGUCAGAGGGGAGAGAGGAGAACUGGGAGUGCCGGGUCACAGAUGGAGCCCAUGUCAGCUGUCAGCGGUGUGCCUGGUCUUGCCUGGAAGUGAAGGAUGGAGCAGAGGUGUUGGGAUUUGGUCAUCAGGAGGUCACUGGAGACCUUCAGGAAGGCACUUCUGGGGAGUAGACUGGGGAGCUGGGAUGUGGGGUCAGGGGCUCUCCCUGGCAGGUGGAGCAUGGUCUCAAGAGCUGGAAGGGACUUUGGCCUGGGGCUUUCCAGAACUACCUGGUGUCACUUGAGCAAUGUCAUCAAGGGAACCCCACCCCAGCUUCUCAGCUCUUCCUCCCUAAGUCCUGGCUGGGGGUGUGGAUCCUAAGGCAGAAUGGGGGGCCCUCAAGCUGCCCUUUGGAGCUGGGCAGGCAGGUUUACAGAACAAUUACAUGGGCCAGGUGUAGAGAGUGUUUGCCUAUGAUAUGCAUAUGAUUUCCAUGUGAAUAGCCUGGACUUUCUCUUCCAAGGUAAUUUUCAAGUUAAAUAUUAAUUGUUGCUGCCCUUACGAUUUAAUGUCUUGAUUCUGCUUUCUCUGUUCCUUCUCACCCAUUUGCUGUCAAUGACUCACGUCUCUGUAUGGCGGGGGAGGAGGAGGGAGCUGCCAGGGCAGGCUGGGAGGGUGGGCUGAGGCUCUAAAGUACAGUGCUGGCCAUGCUGACGCCAGGUGGGGCGGGACGUGGGUGCUGAUGGGAGCUGACAGAUGUUGAACUGACAUCUCCUAUGCAUAGAAAAGCAAUAGGGCCAGUGGCUCAGAGUGGGGAGAGGGAUGACUAGGUGGAGUAUGAGGCAUUUUUUAGGGCAGUGAAACUGUUCUGCAUGAUGCUAUAAAUACUAGCAUGCAUUUGUCGAAACCUAUAAAAUUGUGAAUCUUAAUGUAAACUAUAGACUUUGUUUAAUAACACUGCUUUAAUACUGGUUCAUCAAUGACAACAAAUGCACCAUAGGAAUGCAAGAUGUUAAUAAUAGAAGGAACAGUGGGCUGGGGAGAGAGAGGGUAUAUGAGAACUUGUACUUGGUACACAGUUUGUCAGGAAACCGAAAAUUGCUCUGAAGAAUAAAGUCUACUAAAAAAAAAAAAAAAGGAAGAAAUAGGCAGAUGAAGUAACACAUCAGCCAGUGCUGUUAGAGAAACUUCCCAAGAUCCCCCUGCUCCAAUCAGGAUCAAUCUCUCUCAUGUAGAGACCGAGGCCCCAGGCCCCACCCCAGGCCAAAGGGCAGUGCCAGGAACCUGCUGCUAUCUGCCUGCUGUCUGGAGCUUCCAUGCACAGCUGCCUGCUGCCCCGAGCUUCCAUGCACAGCUGCCUGCCGUCCGGAGCUUCCAUGCACAGCUGCAUGAAGGCAGGGAAGGAUGAACCCUGCUGUGGGCAGAGCAGAGCAGAGCAGAGCAGUGGUUAGGUCAUGGGCUCUGGGGUCUGGGGCACCUGGAUUUGGAGCCUUGCUCUGUCUUUUACUAACUGUGCAACUUUGGGCAAGUGACUUGCCAUCUGUAUGCCUCAGUUUCCUCUUCUGUAAAAGGGAAUUCCUACUAGUGCCUAAUUCAUGCUGGCAUUGUAGGAUGAAGCACUUACCCAGGGCCUGCCUGGCACACAGACUGUGCACAGUGCAACUGGGCUCUAGAUAUUUCCAUCCCAGGUGUGAGGGCCCCCUGACCCCAGUAAUUGCGCAGUGCAGUGCGCCCUCAGCCGGCAUUUGAUCAUCCAGCUCUGGCUUGAAGGGUUCCUGCAGCAAAGGCACCAGUUCUGCUCUCCUGACGGUUGUUUCCUGACACACACAUUAUAACCACAUUAAAGGCCCUUUGAAAAGGGAGCUGAGAGCUUUUCCAGGCAGCGUCUCCUGUUCUUGAAUGGCUCUCAUCAGGAGAAGGAAAUUCCUUGGGCUGAGUUGAAAUCUCCCUCCCAGAGCCACCCCUGGGAAUGAAUUCAAGGCCUGUCCUUUGGGGUAGCACAGGCACUUAGCUCCCUCUUUCCUCUGAGGGCUCAUCAAAGAUUUCAGGGUGAUGCUCACUUCCUGGGUCUGCUGUUCCUAAGCCCCUUAGACAAAACACCUUGCCUUUUGCCCCAGAACAUGGUGGGGCCACACACACUGGUCUACCCUGACCCACUGAUGAGGUGGAAACCCCUUUUCGGGUUUUCUUACUGUGGUACCUCAUUGGGUCCGUAUAGUCCUCCUGGGAGGUGGGAAGAGCAUCCUAAACCUGAAGGUGCUUUAGGUGCGUGUUCUCUUUUAAUCCUCACGCAACUCUAAGAUAUAACUGCUAUUACUAGCCCCAUUUCAUAGCCACGGGAAAUGAGGCUUACCGAGGCUAAGGAAUUUGCCCCAAAUUGCUCAGCUUUUAUGCUGGAGAGGCCUUAUGUCACCCAGGCAAGCUGGCUCCAGCCACGACUACUAAGUGCUGCUGGGCCACCUCUCUCAAAGUAGUUUUCUCACAAUUGGGGUUUCUUUUCUUUUUCUUCCACAAGAGGUGACUGGGGCUCAACACAUGAGUUCUUCUAGAAUUUUCCUCUCUGUGUCUGUGUUGUGUGCAUACUAACGUAAGAAGCAAUGGUUCUUUAUUUCCUUUGGUUUCCCUUGUAGACCUGAGGCCUUGAAUUCACCGGCAGCUCCCUUAAAACCUGCUCCCACUGCUGUCGAGUCAAUUCUGACUCACAGUGACCCUAUAGGGCAGAGUAGAACUGCCCCCAUAGAGUUUCCAAGGAACGCCUGGGGGAUUCGAACUGCUAACCUUUUAGUUAGCAGCCGUAGCACUUAACCACUUCGUCACCAGGGUUUCUGGCAGCUCCCUUAGGCAUGGUGAAUCAGCCUGUUCUGUCUUGGGUCUAUGCUUUCCCCUCCCCUCACCUCGAAGCUCUGUGAGAAGGGCACUGGUUUCCUUCCAUCACGAGCUCCAACCUAGAUUUCUCCUCCUUCUUCCAUGUUACCAUCCUCAAACCUGCUCACAUCUGCUUGACCUCAGGCCGGUCCCAGGCUGAGCACUUUCAGCAGCUCAGAUACCUGGGCCCUGACCUCCCAGAAAAACACAAUUUCCAGAUUGGCUCUCUGAGCUAGGCAGUCCAUGAGUUUCCCCCAGGACAAAGAGCCAAAUCUCCACUUAAGUGGGUAAAAUUGCUGACCCCUCUUAAUGGCCAUGACCCUAUUAUUGAAGCUGCAUCCAAAUCUUGUAUUUUUAUUAAGUUCAGCAGAAAAUCCAGAAUUCUCUCUGCAAAACUCAGCUGUGAAUCAAUAUACUUAGGGAGGGGGCCGAUCCUUGAGAAAAUGGGUAAGAAAUGGACUUUCUCACCUUGGCACCUUGUUUAGUCCAUAUAGUUCUGGGAGGAGAGAAGGUGAGAAGAACACCCUGACUGUGCCACACUCUCUGGGUGCACGCUCUCUUUUAAUCCUCUCAACAACUCUAAGAUGUAAAUGCUAUUAUUAUCCCCAUUUCACAGCUAGGGGAACUGAGGGUCCCUCAUUUUGUUCACAUUCCCAGGGGUUGAAUUGUUUCCCCCCAAAAUGUGUGUCAGCUUGGCUAGGCUAUAAUUCCCAGUACUGUGUGAUCGUCCACUGUUUUGUUAGCUGAUGUAAUUUUCCCAUGUGACGUUAAUGAGGCAGGAUUAGAGGCAGUUAUGUUAAUGAGGCAGGACUCAGUCUACAAGAUUAGGUUGUAUCUUGAGUCAAUCUCUUUUGAGACAUAAAAGAGAGAUGUGAACAAAGACAUAGGGACCUCAUACCACCAAGCAAGAGGAGCCAGGAGUGUGUGUCCUUUGGGACCAGGGUCGCUGUGCAGAGAAGCUCCUAGACCAGGGGAAGAUUGAGGACAGGGACCUUCUUCCAGAGCUAACAGAGAAAGCCUUCCCCUGGAGCUGGCACCCUGAAUUCAGACUUCUAGCCUCCUAGACUGUGAAAGAAUAAAUUUCUGUUUUUUGUUGAAGCCAUCCACUUGUGGUAUUUCUGUUAUAGUAGCAGUAGAUAACUAAGACACAGGUCUAGGCCAGGGUUUUUGUAGGGAAAUAGGUCUAGGUCAGGGUUUUUCUGUAAAACUCCAGGAGCCUGUGAAGUAUUAGGAGACUCAGUCAAUUCUGACUGUAUUGGGAAUACCAAAUAAAUAAGUGAAUCUUUACUUUGUAAAUCCAGGAAGGAACACCUGGGAAGAGGAGUCCACUUAGCCAUUUUCUUGGUUACCCAGACAAAGCAUAACUACUGGCUAGCAUGGUUGCUGCUGGGGAUGGUGGAAGUUCAAAUCCAGCCCUUCAGGUGCCAUCCAUCCCAUCAGGAAGAAUUCAGGAGUAGCAGAGGGAGCACCAGCCUGGGAAUGGUGGAAACCCGAUUCUAGUACCAUCUCUACCAAGACGUUUACUUUCCCUCACUGGUCCUCAGACUCUGCAAAAUAAAGAGGUUGGCUGAAAUUACCUUGCCCAGGUUUUUAAAACUGUGGAGCCCUUUCUUGAAAAGAAAUUUUAUGAGAAAGCCCAGAACAUAGAACAAAUAAAAAGGGAAGCUGCUUGGGCUGAGGCAUGGUGUCCCCUGGGGAUGGUUCCCCCAGAUCCCUAGGAAAUAUAACAUGUAAGUUUGGAAAAUAUUUCUUAUCUGCUCUCUAGCCACCCUUCAGCUCCAGGGAAACCCAAAGGAGACUCUGAUGUUUGGAACUCAGACUUUGUCCAGAGAAAGACCACCUGUGGCCCUGGAGGGGCAGGGCAGCUGAGAUGCCAUGUUGGUAGAGUUCUGUUGUACCACACUUGGCAACCUCUUUCCUUCCUUUCUUCUCAUCCUUCUCCAGCUUAUUAUUCUCCUUCUUUUCCCUCUCCCUUUGGCACUUGGGAGUAGGGCCAGUAGUAAUCUUCACUGCAUGGCCUAAAAGCUGCUGAGUCUUAAUAUAGAGGGAUCUUCCAGCCUACUGACGGCAUGAAAAAACAUUCUUCAAUGAAGUCCCCAGCAAUGGCUCGCACCACCUGGAGAAUGGCCAUGGUAGGUCCACCUUUGGGAAUGAGUGAGGAGGGGUUGCUAAAAACAGGCCAUUAGAUUUUGAAUUUAUCGCCUCCUUUACCUGAGAUACAGUGUCAAUGUUGCUGGGAGAAAUGUCUUUUAAUGUCUUGGAUCAUUAAAACCCAAUAAUCUCUUUGAAAUGGCUGAACUGCUUACUGCAAGGAGAUAAAGUAAAUAAAACUGCUUCUCUGUGUCUGCUGUCACCAUAUUGGUAGAGCAUUUCUUUCCUUUUUUAUAACUGCAUUCAUUUUAUUUCAGGCCCAUGCAUUUAUGCCAUGCUGGUGGUAUAUAAAUUUGGUAAUUAAAUCCUGUUAUCUUGACACUAUGGGUAGAAAGAGAAGCAGUUGUGAUGCUUCAGAGAGGAAAAACACAGUGAGGAGGGAAAAGAAGAUUUGUUUUGUAUUACUAAAAAAAAUGGUUUCAUAGAGUCUUUUUUUUUAGUACUAGAUAGUUGACAGAUGCCUGACAAGCAGAGAGCUCCUUCUGUGCAGAAGGAUUCCAACUGACCUUGUGAAAUUACUCUUCUGCUUUGUUGUGUAUCCCAGCAGAGCAGAAAGUGUAUGUUAUUGGUAAACUCACAGACCUUGUAUUUUGUCUAAGCUCUAUGGCUUAUAAGAUGUGUGACCUUAGACAAGUCCUAAGACCUUCUGAAUCUAUCAGGAUGCUUUGGGUUGCAAGUAAAAGAAAUUCCAGCCCUGAGUGACUGAAUAAUUAAAAAACAAUUUUAUAUCCUAUGACAAGAAGUUGUGAUUAAAGAUAACUCAAGAUAUGCCAGCAGCUCAUCAAUGUAAUGAAGAACCAGCUUCUUCCCAACAUCUUCCUUUGCCGUCUGCAGUGUAUUAGCAUGGACUCCCAGCCUUGCAGCCCCUGUGAUUACAAGAUGGCAGCCUCAGGUUUAAGAUUCUCAUGCUGACCCAACAAUGUUCAGCAGAAGAAGGCGGCCUGUCUCUUUUAUCAGGAAGAAAAUAUUUCUAGAAGCCUUCUAGAAGAUGUGGCAUCAUAUCCCCUUCCCCAGAAGUGUGUCACAUACCUACCUGUAAACCAAUAACUGGAAAAGAGAAGGGGCUCAUCACUACUGGCUUACAUAAAUCGUGAUUUCCUCUCCCUGCCCUCAGGCUGAUGAUGGGGCUCCUGAAGUAUAUGGCCAGGCAGAGAAGUUGGGAUACCUGAGUAAAAUCAGGGUUGUAUUGGAAAGGAGGAAGAGGUGUGCAGG